RNAcentral lists this long non-coding RNA (201 nucleotides) under Ananas comosus (pineapple). Its description in RNAcentral is "long non-coding RNA (ACOM_LNC006273)". The record is from RNAcentral. Lineage: Eukaryota; Viridiplantae; Streptophyta; Magnoliopsida; Poales; Bromeliaceae.
AUAAACCUUUUAAUCUAAGGCCCCGACACCCUGACCCAUCACACCAAUCGUCUCUAGAGCAAGUAGCAAAGGGCUUGGUGGUUGGUACCCGAGACCCAAGUUCGAAUCCUAGUUGAUUCACAUUUCCAGUUAAGUUUAUUUCUAAAUGAAAUAAACGAAGCAGGUAGCGUGUUAUCUAUCUCUCUCCAAAAAAAAAAAAAA